GGACCAAGGAGUCUAGCAUGUGCGCGAGUCAUUGGGAUAUUGACUAAACCUAAAGGCGCAAUGAAAGUGAAGGUCCGCCUUGCGCGGACCGAGGGAGGAUGGUCGGUCCCGAGGGACCGACUCGCACUCCCGGGGCGUCUCGUUCUCAUCGCGAGAAGAGGCGCACCCAGAGCGUACACGCUGGGACCCGAAAGAUGGUGAACUAUGCCUGGUCAGGACGAAGUCAGGGGAAACCCUGAUGGAGGUCCGUAGCGAUUCUGACGUGCAAAUCGAUCGUCGGAACUGGGUAUAGGGGCGAAAGACUAAUCGAACCAUCUAGUAGCUGGUUCCCUCCGAAGUUUCCCUCAGGAUAGCUGGCGCUCGCUUCUCGCGAGUCUCAUUCGGUAAAGCGAAUGAUUAGAGGCAUUGGGGUCGAAACGGCCUCAACCUAUUCUCAAACUUUAAAUGGGUGAGAUCUCCGGCUUGCUUGAACUGUGAAGCCGCGAGAUAUCGGAUCAGAGUGCCAAGUGGGCCACUUUUGGUAAGCAGAACUGGCGCUGUGGGAUGAACCAAACGCCGAGUUAAAGCGCCUAAAUCGACGCUUAUGGGAUACCAUGAAAGGCGUUGGUAACUUAAGACAGCAGGACGGUGGCCAUGGAAGUCGG
This 644-nucleotide ribosomal RNA is filed under the name Trochalus sp. DA3078. RNAcentral describes it as "eukaryotic LSU rRNA". It matches the Rfam family "Eukaryotic large subunit ribosomal RNA", at positions 663 to 1264 of the family's 3401-position model. Lineage: Eukaryota; Metazoa; Arthropoda; Insecta; Coleoptera; Scarabaeidae. The record is from RNAcentral.